Molecule: ribosomal RNA, 238 nt
Filed under: uncultured bacterium
Lineage: Bacteria
Description: partial 16S ribosomal RNA
Rfam family: Bacterial small subunit ribosomal RNA
Source: RNAcentral
CCGGCCACGGGUGAGUAACACGUAUCCAACCUGCCGUCUACUCUUGGACAGCCUUCUGAAAGGAAGAUUAAUACAAGAUGGCAUCAUGAGUUCACAUGUUCACAUGAUUAAAGGUAUUCCGGUAGACGAUGGGGAUGCGUUCCAUUAGAUAGUAGGCGGGGUAACGGCCCACCUAGUCUUCGAUGGAUAGGGGUUCUGAGAGGAAGGUCCCCCACAUUGGAACUGAGACACGGUCCAA